UUCCACUUUUAUGAAGAUAGUGAAGGAACUAUCAAGAAAAAUAUUUUGAAAAGUAUGGAGAAGUCUUGGAAGAAAACAAGGCUGAGGUUGUAUGCUUUUUAUGAGCCAACAUUCACGAUUGAACAAAAUAUUGAGCACCAUCCGUCUGGAAUUGAUCGAGAGCAUUGGAGAUGGUUCCUUAACUAUCGCGCCAAAGCUGAGAUGAAGGAGAAGUGCAGAAAAAAUGUAAUUAAUAAAUAAAAAAAAAUAUAUACCCACACUGGUGGUUCAAAAAGUUUCGCACGGCGGAUGGAAGAAAAGUCGGAACAACAAGGGAGGAGAGUCGGUAGAGGAGAGCUAUGAAUCACAGUGCACAAAAAAAAAAGAUGGCUCCUAUAUCAAUGAUGAAGCAAGAGCAAUUGGUAAAAGAAUUGAGGAGAUUGAGCAACAGGAUGAGUCUUCUAGAGUGUUGUCUCAAAAUGAUUUCAUUGCUCAGGUGUUCGGAAAAGAGAAUCCGGGUAGAGUACGUGGUGUGGGUUUCGGACCGACUCCUAGUCAACUCUUCGGUCCGAAUUCACAUGCGCCGGGCAACAGAGUUCAAGUAGAGGAGACACAGAGGAAGCUGCUUGAACUGCAGACAGAGCUGGAAGGCGAGAAGUUGAAGAGGAACGCGAUGGAGGAUGAGGUAGCAGCAGAGAAGAAAAAAAAGCA
Arachis ipaensis is the source of this 690-nucleotide non-coding RNA. NCBI's taxonomy places the organism in Eukaryota, Viridiplantae, Streptophyta, Magnoliopsida, Fabales, Fabaceae. The record is from RefSeq and is a predicted model, not a curated record.